GAGCGGUUGGAAAAGGAUCGGCCAAGGCCGACGAUCAAGUCUGGGCUAAAGCCCAGCCACUCACGACGCCACUGCGAGCUCAGAAACGUCUGUGGAUUUCGAGUUUUCCCAUGUCGUUUCCGGCGACUCCGGCGAUUGUUUCCGUCAAUCGAGAGAGGAGUUCAAGUUUGAGAAAAACCAAGUCACAGAUUUUCACAAACAAAUCUGCUUGUAAAUUGAAAUUGGGGGACCUGAAAGGAGCACUGUUAGACACCGACUUUGCAAUGAAGGAUGGAGAAGAUAAUGUUAAGGCUUUCUUUUGCCAA
Molecule: non-coding RNA, 305 nt
Organism: Prunus mume (Japanese apricot)
Lineage: Eukaryota; Viridiplantae; Streptophyta; Magnoliopsida; Rosales; Rosaceae
Source: RefSeq, a predicted model, not a curated record